This 1743-nucleotide ribosomal RNA is filed under the name Salmonella enterica subsp. enterica serovar Stanley. RNAcentral describes it as "partial 23S ribosomal RNA". It matches the Rfam family "Bacterial large subunit ribosomal RNA", at positions 426 to 2153 of the family's 2925-position model. Lineage: Bacteria; Pseudomonadati; Pseudomonadota; Gammaproteobacteria; Enterobacterales; Enterobacteriaceae. The record is from RNAcentral.
GUGGUAUCCUGUCUGAAUAUGGGGGGACCAUCCUCCAAGGCUAAAUACUCCUGACUGACCGAUAGUGAACCAGUACCGUGAGGGAAAGGCGAAAAGAACCCCGGCGAGGGGAGUGAAAAAGAACCUGAAACCGUGUACGUACAAGCAGUGGGAGCACCCUUCGGGGUGUGACUGCGUACCUUUUGUAUAAUGGGUCAGCGACUUAUAUUCUGUAGCAAGGUUAACCGAAUAGGGGAGCCGGAGGGAAACCGAGUCUUAAUUGGGCGUUAAGUUGCAGGGUAUAGACCCGAAACCCGGUGAUCUAGCCAUGGGCAGGUUGAAGGUUGGGUAACACUAACUGGAGGACCGAACCGACUAAUGUUGAAAAAUUAGCGGAUGACCUGUGGCUGGGGGUGAAAGGCCAAUCAAACCGGGAGAUAGCUGGUUCUCCCCGAAAGCUAUUUAGGUAGCGCCUCGUGAAUUCAUCUCCGGGGGUAGAGCACUGUUUCGGCUAGGGGGCCAUCCCGGCUUACCAACCCGAUGCAAACUGCGAAUACCGGAGAAUGUUAUCACGGGAGACACACGGCGGGUGCUAACGUCCGUCGUGAAGAGGGAAACAACCCAGACCGCCAGCUAAGGUCCCAAAGUCAUGGUUAAGUGGGAAACGAUGUGGGAAGGCCCAGACAGCCAGGAUGUUGGCUUAGAAGCAGCCAUCAUUUAAAGAAAGCGUAAUAGCUCACUGGUCGAGUCGGCCUGCGCGGAAGAUGUAACGGGGCUAAACCAUGCACCGAAGCUGCGGCAGCGACACUGUGUGUUGUUGGGUAGGGGAGCGUUCUGUAAGCCUGUGAAGGUGUGUCGUGAGGCAUGCUGGAGGUAUCAGAAGUGCGAAUGCUGACAUAAGUAACGAUAAAGCGGGUGAAAAGCCCGCUCGCCGGAAGACCAAGGGUUCCUGUCCAACGUUAAUCGGGGCAGGGUGAGUCGACCCCUAAGGCGAGGCCGAAAGGCGUAGUCGAUGGGAAACGGGUUAAUAUUCCCGUACUUGGUGUUACUGCGAAGGGGGGACGGAGAAGGCUAUGUUGGCCGGGCGACGGUUGUCCCGGUUUAAGCGUGUAGGUGUGUGUUCCAGGUAAAUCCGGUUCACUUUAACACUGAGGCGUGACGACGAGGCACUACGGUGCUGAAGCAACAAAUGCCCUGCUUCCAGGAAAAGCCUCUAAGCAUCAGGUAACAUCAAAUCGUACCCCAAACCGACACAGGUGGUCAGGUAGAGAAUACCAAGGCGCUUGAGAGAACUCGGGUGAAGGAACUAGGCAAAAUGGUGCCGUAACUUCGGGAGAAGGCACGCUGACACGUAGGUGAAGUGAUUUACUCAUGGAGCUGAAGUCAGUCGAAGAUACCAGCUGGCUGCAACUGUUUAUUAAAAACACAGCACUGUGCAAACACGAAAGUGGACGUAUACGGUGUGACGCCUGCCCGGUGCCGGAAGGUUAAUUGAUGGGGUCAGCGCAAGCGAAGCUCCUGAUCGAAGCCCCGGUAAACGGCGGCCGUAACUAUAACGGUCCUAAGGUAGCGAAAUUCCUUGUCGGGUAAGUUCCGACCUGCACGAAUGGCGUAAUGAUGGCCAGGCUGUCUCCACCCGAGACUCAGUGAAAUUGAACUCGCUGUGAAGAUGCAGUGUACCCGCGGCAAGACGGAAAGACCCCGUGAACCUUUACUAUAGCUUGACACUGAACAUUGAGCCUUGAUGUGUAGGAUAGGUGGGAG